RNAcentral lists this non-coding RNA (130 nucleotides) under Rhodnius prolixus. RNAcentral's name for it is "TPP sequence". It matches the Rfam family "TPP riboswitch aptamer (THI element)". From Rfam's summary of the family: Vitamin B(1) in its active form thiamin pyrophosphate (TPP) is an essential coenzyme that is synthesised by coupling of pyrimidine and thiazole moieties in bacteria. The previously detected thiamin-regulatory element, thi box was extended, resulting in a new, highly conserved RNA secondary structure, the THI element, which is widely distributed in eubacteria and also occurs in some archaea. Analysis of operon structures identified a large number of new candidate thiamin-regulated genes, mostly transporters, in various prokaryotic organisms. Lineage: Eukaryota; Metazoa; Arthropoda; Insecta; Hemiptera; Reduviidae. The record is from Rfam by way of RNAcentral.
ACGUUCUCAACGGGGUGCAGGCCGUUUGUUGGCUAUAUCGCAUUGUCAACGCACGGUAUUUAUGCUGGGAAAAUACCCGUCGAACCUGAUCCGGUUAAUACCUGCGAAGGGAUUUGAGAGUGCAUUCGCC